Molecule: long non-coding RNA, 294 nt
Organism: Juglans regia (Persian walnut)
Lineage: Eukaryota; Viridiplantae; Streptophyta; Magnoliopsida; Fagales; Juglandaceae
Exons: 4
Source: RefSeq, a predicted model, not a curated record
UGAAGUUUUCCCUCGCACCCCUAAAUCACUUCGAUUCUCUCCCUCUUACUCAUUUACUAGUUCAUCCUUGUGGGAGCUGUGUUUCUUUUCGUCUCUCUGUGUGUCCUCGGAAACUCGUUGCCGCUGACUGGGUUCCACAACGUUGGCUUGUGGGUCUCUAGAUCCUGGUAUUGCUGCCGAGCCUCACAUCGGAAGUGCUAGACGUGGUUGUGAUACUGUUAGAGAACAGAUCCAAGGCAUAUCUUGUACACGGAAGUCAGGCCCAGCCACAGGUAUAAUGGUGGUUUAUAAACC